RNAcentral lists this ribosomal RNA (209 nucleotides) under uncultured Chlamydiales bacterium. RNAcentral describes it as "partial 16S ribosomal RNA". It matches the Rfam family "Bacterial small subunit ribosomal RNA", at positions 302 to 504 of the family's 1533-position model. Lineage: Bacteria; Pseudomonadati; Chlamydiota; Chlamydiia; Chlamydiales. The record is from RNAcentral.
AUCCGCCAACACUGGGACUGAGACACUGCCCAGACUCCUACGGGAGGCUGCAGUCGAGAAUCUUUCGCAAUGGGCGCAAGCCUGACGAAGCGACGCCGUGUGGAUGAUGACAGCUUUCGGGUUGUAAAGUCCUUUCGCUUGGGAGCAAGAGAAAUUAGCUAAUAACUAAUAAUUUGAGAGUACCAGGUAAAGAAGCACCGGCUAACUCC